RNAcentral lists this ribosomal RNA (434 nucleotides) under uncultured Lachnospiraceae bacterium. RNAcentral describes it as "bacterial SSU rRNA". It matches the Rfam family "Bacterial small subunit ribosomal RNA", at positions 341 to 792 of the family's 1533-position model. Lineage: Bacteria; Bacillati; Bacillota; Clostridia; Lachnospirales; Lachnospiraceae. The record is from RNAcentral.
ACGGAAGGCAGCAGUGGGGAAUAUUGCACAAUGGGGGAAACCCUGAUGCAGCGACGCCGCGUGAGUGAAGAAGUAUUUCGGUAUGCAAAGCUCUAUCAGCAGGGAAGAAAAUGACGGUACCUGACUAAGAAGCCCCGGCUAACUACGUGCCAGCAGCCGCGGUAAUACGUAGGGGGCAAGCGUUAUCCGGAUUUACUGGGUGUAAAGGGAGCGUAGACGGUUCUGCAAGUCUGAUGUGAAAGGCAGGGGCUCAACUCCUGGACUGCAUUGGAAACUGUAGAACUAGAGUGCCGGAGAGGUAAGCGGAAUUCCUAGUGUAGCGGUGAAAUGCGUAGAUAUUAGGAGGAACACCAGUGGCGAAGGCGGCUUACUGGACGGUAACUGACGUUGAGGCUCGAAAGCGUGGGGAGCAAACAGGAUUAGAUACCCUGGUA